Molecule: ribosomal RNA, 472 nt
Filed under: uncultured bacterium
Lineage: Bacteria
Description: partial 16S ribosomal RNA
Rfam family: Bacterial small subunit ribosomal RNA
Source: RNAcentral
GACGAACGCUGGCGGCGUGCUUAACACAUGCAAGUCGAACGCUGAAGCUUGGUGCUUGCACUGGGUGGAUGAGUGGCGAACGGGUGAGUAAUACGUGAGUAACCUGCCCUUGACUCUGGGAUAAGCCUGGGAAACUGGGUCUAAUACUGGAUACGACAUGUCACCGCAUGGUGGUGUGUGGAAAGGGUUUUACUGGUUUUGGAUGGGCUCACGGCCUAUCAGCUUGUUGGUGGGGUAAUGGCUCACCAAGGUGACGACGGGUAGCCGGCCUGAGAGGGUGACCGGCCACACUGGGACUGAGACACGGCCCAGACUCCUACGGGAGGCAGCAGUGGGGAAUAUUGCACAAUGGGCGGAAGCCUGAUGCAGCGACGCCGCGUGAGGGAUGACGGCCUUCGGGUUGUAAACCUCUUUCAGCACGGAAGAAGCGAAAGUGACGGUACGUGCAGAAGAAGCGCCGGCUAACUACGUG